UUUGCACACCAACCCAAAAGUCACAUGAUCCCAGUGAUGUGAUUUUUUUCUGGUGUGCAGAAAGCAAAUGUGAUCCUUGUCGCCUUUCUCUGAUGCUGCAGUGCCUUUGAAAGUGAAUUCAAGGAUUGACAUUG
This is a small nucleolar RNA of Nerophis ophidion (straightnose pipefish), 134 nucleotides long. RefSeq annotates it as small nucleolar RNA SNORA68. Lineage: Eukaryota; Metazoa; Chordata; Actinopteri; Syngnathiformes; Syngnathidae. The transcript has a single exon. The record is from RefSeq and is a predicted model, not a curated record.